RNAcentral lists this ribosomal RNA (253 nucleotides) under uncultured bacterium. RNAcentral's name for it is "partial 16S ribosomal RNA". It matches the Rfam family "Bacterial small subunit ribosomal RNA", at positions 524 to 776 of the family's 1533-position model. The record is from RNAcentral.
UACGUAGGUGGCAAGCGUUGUCCGGAUUUAUUGGGUUUAAAGGGUGCGUAGGCGGCCCUGUAAGUCAGUGGUGAAAUACUCUAGCUUAACUAGAGGGGUGCCAUUGAUACUGCAGGGCUUGAAUGAAGUCGAGGUAGGCGGAAUUGACGGUGUAGCGGUGAAAUGCUUAGAUAUCGUCAAGAACACCGAUAGUGAAGACAGCUUACUAGGCUUAGAUUGACGCUGAGGCACGAAAGUGUGGGGAUCAAACAGG